Unclassified non-coding RNA from Erinaceus europaeus (western European hedgehog), 310 nucleotides. Its record names the gene 7SK. It matches the Rfam family "7SK RNA". Rfam says of the family: 7SK was discovered as an abundant small nuclear RNA in the mid-70s but a possible function has only recently been suggested. Two independent studies have found that 7SK RNA binds the CDK9/cyclin T complex (known as elongation factor P-TEFb). The record is from Ensembl. Lineage: Eukaryota; Metazoa; Chordata; Mammalia; Eulipotyphla; Erinaceidae.
GGAUGUGAGGGUGAUCUGGCUGCGACAUCUGUCACCCCACUGAUCGCCAGGGUUGAUUCAGCUGAUCUGGCUGGCUAGGCAGGUGUCCCCUUCCUCCCUCACCACUCCAUGUGCGUCCCUCCCAAAGCUGCAUGCUCGCUCAGUUGAAGAGGACGGCCUUCCCCGAAUAGAGACGGACCAUUCUUCAGUUGAGGGUACAAGAGUAGCUGUAUUCCCUUGCUAGGACCUCCAAAAGACUGUCUUGUUGAUUGCUAAACAAUAAACCAUCCAGAGAUCUAUAAUUCAAUAGAAUUGUUCAUUCUUUUUAAUU